Rhea pennata is the source of this 1605-nucleotide non-coding RNA. The record is from the annotation of a RefSeq genome assembly. NCBI's taxonomy places the organism in Eukaryota, Metazoa, Chordata, Aves, Rheiformes, Rheidae.
AUGGCCUCCGUGUCGGCCCCCUCCGUGUUCCCGCUGGCGCCGUGCUGCGAGGCCGCCGCGGCCGCCGCGGCCGUGGGCUGCCUGGUGAGCGGCUUCCUGCCGGCGCCGGUGUCGGUGAGCUGGAGCGGGCCGGGCGCCGGCGCCGCCGAGACCUCCGCCGCGGCGCUCGACCCGGCCACGGGGCUCUACCGCCUGAGCAGCCGGCUGCGCGUGCCGGCCGGCGCCGACGGCCCCUACACCUGCACCGUGCGGCACGCGCCCAGCGGCAGCCGCGUCCAGAGGGACGUCGAAGCCUGCGGCAGCGCCGCGCUCUCGCCGCCCGCCGUGCGGGUGCUGCACUCGGCCUCCUGCGGCGCCGACUCGGUGGAGCUGCUGUGCCUGGCGUCGGGCUUCGCGCCGGCCGCCGUCUCCGUCGAGUGGCUGCUGGACGACGAGCCGGGGCUGCUGCUGGCCACCGCCGGGCGGCCGCGGCGCCAGGACGGCGCCGCCACCUUCGCCGUCUCCAGCCGCACCAACGUGUCGCGGCACGACUGGCUGGAGGGCAGGACCGUCACCUGCCGCGUGCGGCACCCCGGCACCGACACCGUCGUGCUGGACCACGCGCGACACUGCCCCGGCGCCGAGAGCCGCUGCACCAGCAGCGUCGCGACCUUCGUGCUGCCGCCGAGCCCGGCGGGCCUCUACGUGCGGCGGGACGCCAAGCUGCGCUGCGUCGCCGUCAACCUGCCCAGCGACAGCGGCCUGCAGCUCUCCUGGAGCCGCGAGCGCCCCGGCGCCCUGCUGCCCGACUCGCUGGAGCUGCGCGAGCAGUUCAACGGCACCUUCACGGCCAGCAGCGCCCUGGCCGUGGCCACCGAGGACUGGGAGGCCGGCGAGCGCUUCACCUGCACCGUGCGCCACGAGGAGCUGUGGGUCCCCACCGCGGCCGCCGUGGUCCUCACCACCUCCGUGGUCCAUGCCAUGGGCGUCGUGGUCCUCACCAUGCGUGUCGUGGUCCUCGCCGCGGGUGUCGUGGUCCUCACCACCUCCAUGGUCCAUGCUGUGGGCGUCGUGGUCCUCACCAUGGGCGUCGUGGUCCUCACCACCUCCGUGGUCCAUGCCGUGGGCGUCGUGGUCCUCACCAUGGGUGUCGUGGUCCUCGCCACGGGCGUCGUGGUCCUCACCACCUCCAUGGUCCAUGCUGUGGGCGUCGUGGUCCUCACCAUGGGCGUUGUGGUCCUCACCACCUCCGUGGUCCAUGCCAUGGGCAUCAUGGUCCUCGCCAUGAUGGGCAAGGCCUCGCCGCCCAGCGUCUUCGCCCUGCCGCCCAGCCCUGAGGAGCUGUCGCAGCCCGACGUGACCCUCACCUGCCUGGUGCGGGGCUUCUACCCGGAGAACGUCGACGUGCAGUGGCUGAAGAACCACAACGCCGUGCCGGCCGGCGCCGCCAUCACCACGCCGCCGCUCCGCGAGCGCCCCGGCGACUCCUCCUUCUUCGUGUACAGCAAGCUGACGGUGCCGCGCGCCAGCUGGGAGGACAGGGCCUCCUACGCCUGCAUGGUGGUGCACGAGGCCCUGCCGCUGAAGUUCACCCAGCGCCUGCUGCAGAAGAGCCCCGGUAAAUAG